RNAcentral lists this ribosomal RNA (459 nucleotides) under uncultured bacterium. RNAcentral describes it as "partial 16S ribosomal RNA". It matches the Rfam family "Bacterial small subunit ribosomal RNA", at positions 338 to 795 of the family's 1533-position model. The record is from RNAcentral.
CCUACGGGCGGCAGCAGUGAGGAAUAUUGGUCAAUGGACGCGAGUCUGAACCAGCCAAGUAGCGUGAAGGAUGACUGCCCUAUGGGUUGUAAACUUCUUUUAUAUGGGAAUAAAAUGUUCCACGUGUGGGAUUUUGUAUGUACCAUAUGAAUAAGAAUCGGCUAACUCCGUGCCAGCAGCCGCGGUAAUACGGGGGAUGCGAGCGUUAUCCGGAUUCAUGGGGUUUAAGGGGUGCGCGGGCGGGCCUUUAAGCCGGCGGUGAAAUCGCGGGGCUCAACCCCGCCGAGCCGUCGGAACUGGGGGGCUUGAGUGUGGCGGAGGCAGGCGGAAUGCGCGGUGUAGCGGUGAAAUGCAUAGAUAUCGCGCAGAACCCCGAUUGCGAAGGCAGCGUGCCGUGCCGACACUGACGCUGAGGUACGAAAGCGCGGGGAUCGAACAGGAUUAGAUACCCCUGUAGUC